This 254-nucleotide ribosomal RNA is filed under the name uncultured bacterium. RNAcentral's name for it is "partial 16S ribosomal RNA". It matches the Rfam family "Bacterial small subunit ribosomal RNA", at positions 524 to 776 of the family's 1533-position model. The record is from RNAcentral.
CACGUAGGGGGCGAGCGUUGUCCGGAUUCAUUGGGCGUAAAGAGCUCGUAGGCGGCUCAGUAAGUCGGGUGUGAAACCCUCAGGCUCAACAUGGGGACGCCACUCGAUACUGCUGUGGCUAGAGUCCAGUAGGGGAGUGUGGAAUUCCCGGUGUAGCGGUGAAAUGCGCAGAUAUCGGGAGGAACACCAGCGGCGAAGGCGGCACUCUGGGCUGGUACUGACGCUGAGGAGCGAAAGCGUGGGUAGCAAACAGG